GUUAAUUCUCAGGUCUCUCUUCUUGGCUUGUUGGUGGCAUCUUCUCCCUGUGUCCUCCCAGGGUCAUCCCUCAGUGUGUGUUGUUGUCUGUGUCCUAAUCACCCUUUUUUUUUCUUUUUUUUUUUUUUUUACUAAGGACAUCAGUCAGAUUAGAUUAGGGCCCACCCAGAUGACCUCAUUUUACUUUACCUCUUUGAAGGCCCUAUCUCCAAAUGUAGUCACCCUGGGGCUUAGGACUUCACCAUAUGAAUGUCGGGGCGGGGCACGAUUCAGCCCAUUGCUCCAGUAACUGGCUCAGACAUGGGCAUGUGACCCACAUCUGGCCAAAGUGCUGGGAUUACAGGUGUGAGCAGUGGGAAGGUUUUGGCUCACUGGUGCCCACCACCAUGCCCGGCUAAUUUUGUCCGCUGGAGGGGAGUGCUGGCUUGCCUCUGGGGAAACUCUUCUUUCCUAAGGGAAAGCACAGAAAGAGCGCUCUCCUCCUUCUUUGAAUGUUGUCAUGUUGAGAUUUGAUACUGGACCCACUGCAGCCAAGCUGAGGCCUGCCUGAGUGGGGAGCUGACCCACUGGAGAUGAGGUGGUGAAUUAGUAGACCCUGAAGCCUCCUCCAAGCUGUCCUGUGGGUU
RNAcentral lists this long non-coding RNA (626 nucleotides) under Homo sapiens (human). Its description in RNAcentral is "non-protein coding lnc-TRIB1-6:1". The record is from RNAcentral. Lineage: Eukaryota; Metazoa; Chordata; Mammalia; Primates; Hominidae.